GGGCGGUUAGCUCAGUGGUAGAGCGCUUCGUUUACACCGAAGAUGUCGGGAGUUCGACCCUCUCACCGCCCA
RNAcentral lists this transfer RNA (72 nucleotides) under Syntrichia caninervis. RNAcentral describes it as "tRNA-Val (TAC) (tRNA-Val-TAC-6-1)". It matches the Rfam family "tRNA". Rfam says of the family: Transfer RNA (tRNA) molecules are approximately 80 nucleotides in length. Their secondary structure includes four short double-helical elements and three loops (D, anti-codon, and T loops). Further hydrogen bonds mediate the characteristic L-shaped molecular structure. tRNAs have two regions of fundamental functional importance: the anti-codon, which is responsible for specific mRNA codon recognition, and the 3' end, to which the tRNAs corresponding amino acid is attached (by aminoacyl-tRNA synthetases). tRNAs cope with the degeneracy of the genetic code in two manners: having more than one tRNA (with a specific anti-codon) for a particular amino acid; and 'wobble' base-pairing, i.e. permitting non-standard base-pairing at the 3rd anti-codon position. Lineage: Eukaryota; Viridiplantae; Streptophyta; Bryopsida; Pottiales; Pottiaceae. The record is from RNAcentral. RNAcentral also lists the same sequence under 1 other name.